Xyrauchen texanus (razorback sucker) is the source of this 629-nucleotide long non-coding RNA. RefSeq lists it as uncharacterized. Lineage: Eukaryota; Metazoa; Chordata; Actinopteri; Cypriniformes; Catostomidae. The record is from RefSeq and is a predicted model, not a curated record. The transcript is spliced from 3 exons.
CUACCCUCCCUAGCAACCGGCCAAUUUGGUUACCCCAUGUGACUCUACCCUCCCUAGCAACCGGCCCAAUUUGGUUACCCCAUGUGACUCUACCCUCCCUAGCAACCGGCCAAUUUGGUUACCCCAUGUGACUCUACCCUCCCUAGCAACCGGGAUAAUUUGGUUGCUAAGGAGACCUGACUGGAGUCUAAUACCCCACGAGGAGGUUACCCCAUGUGACUCUACCCUCCCUAGCAACCGGCCCAAUUUGGUUACCCCAUGUGACUCUACCCUCCCUAGCAACCGGCCCAAUUUGGUUACCCCAUGUGACUCUACCCUCCCUAGCAACCGGCCCAAUUUGGUUACCCCAUGUGACUCUACCCUCCCUAGCAACCGGCCCAAUUUGGUUACCCCAUGUGACUCUACCCUCCCUAGCAACCGGCCCAAUUUGGUUACCCCAUGUGACUCUACCCUCCCUAGCAACCGGCCCAAUUUGGUUACCCCAUGUGACUCUACCCUCCCUAGCAACCGGCCCAAUUUGGUUACCCCAUGUGACUCUACCCUCCCUAGCAACCGGCCCAAUUUGGUUACCCCAUGUGACUCUACCCUCCCUAGCAACCGGCCAAUUUGGUUACCCCAUGUGACUCUAC